AUAGAAUCAUAAAUAGAUAUUUAAUCUAGUAAUGUAUAUGUACUAAAUAAUGAGUAUGCAAUAUUGGUGUACAGUCCAGCAUAACCAUAAUUAGAGUCAAAUAAAAUAAGACUUUAUGGACUAAGUCUCUUUGGAUCACGAGGAAACAUUGAAGACUUCCUGAUAUUUCCAAGAUUCAAAAAGAGCAUAAUGACUCUUUCAAGCCCAAUUCCACAUCCACCAUGGGGAGGAGCGCCGAGCUUGAAUGAGUUCAAGUAGUCUCUAAGUGAAUGUUCUGAAACACCGCACUCUUGGCACCUUUUUACUAAUAAAUCGUAAUCAUGUACUCUCUGUGCUCCACUUAAUAUUUCUUCUCCUCUCAUAAAGAAGUCAAAAGAAUUGGACCAUUUCUAAAAUGUGGGGAAAUUGGCGGUAAUUAUUUGCAUGUAAAAGCGGGAACGCCUCCCAAGCUGUCUAUAUUGCUCCUAAGAGAAGUAAAAGGGAGGAAAAGCGGGUAGAGGAAGUAUAGGAAAAUGGGGAAGAGCUAUAUUGAGGUCAGUUGGUGAUGCAUGAAAAGUUGUCAUCAAGGGUUCAAACGUAGCUGUAUCUACACGCAUGUGCAAAUACACGUUUGAGUUUACAGGCUAUGGGUGAAUGAACAAUCAUCAUCCCUCAAUAAGAAAGCAAAUCUUCAAUUUUCCCUUAAAAUCCCUAAAUCCCCUUGUUUCUUCUCUCUAUUUUAUACUUUCAAGCUUUCUAUAUUUCUUGGGAGGCAAAAUAAAAGAUUAACUUACCUCUGGUUCAUCAAAGUCAGGCAUUGUGUAAAAAGGUCUCACUUUGAGUGGAUAUUUAAGCAUCAUAUAGAAAUCUGAGUUGUAUUUUUCCUUGACAAUAGAACCUAAAUAGGAAAUUAAUGAUUUAGGUUAGUUAUAAUUAAAUAUAUUCAAAAAGGUUUAUAAUAUUAUCAAUUGAUAGAUAAUAAUAUCAUAGUAAGAUGAAAUAAGCAAAAGGAAUGAGAAAGAACUACGGAUUUGAAAUUCAAGUCCAAUAACAUUUAAAAUUAUGUCCGCUCUUCUCAAAUCCUGCCCUUUUCAAUCUUACUAGAAAAUUCUUAGUAUGGAACUUACCAAGUAAUCUUUCCUGCUCUGUGGAAAUAUCAAAAUCAGACAGAUCUUCUGGAAUUUCAGCGCCUGCCUCCUUAAGGAGAUUACAUCCUUCUUCAAAAGUAAGACGUGGAGUCUUUUCUGAAAUGACGAAAGGAGUAAAUGGAUUAUAUUCCGAGACAAUAAGUAAUUCAUUCUUGCAAUGAGUAUUGAUUCCUUGGAAUAUAUGUCUAAACAUAGCGUCGAAAACGUCAACCAACUCAUGAUAAGUAUUUUCAAUGUUCAUUUCAAUAUCAACUCCAACAAACUCACAUAAAUGUCUGUGAGUAUUUGAAUUUUCUGCUCUGAAAACAGGACCAAUUUCAAAGACUCUUUCUAAAUCUCCACAAAUUGACAUUUGUUUAUGGAGUUGAGGUGACUGUGCUAAGCAAGCUGUAUUUGAGAAGUAGUCUACUUUGAAUACAGUGGCACCACUUUCGGAAGCACCUGGUAAAAGUUUGGGAGUAUGAAUCUCAAUGAAUUCUCUUUCUAUGAGGAAUUCCCUAAGCAAUCUGCAUACUUCCGAUUGAAUUCUGAAUAUUGCCUGACUCAAAUAAGUUCUCAAGUCCAAUACUCUGUUGUCCAGUCUGACAUCUUGUAGAACUUUAAUAAUUGUGGAAUCCUCAUCCUCAGUUUCAACCCUAUUAGCAUCUUUUAAUUGGAAAGGUAAUUCACUGCAAGCCGAUGAGACACAGUAAACUCUUUCAACUAAAACCUCUAUAUCUUGUGUUGAUGAAACCACUGGAGUUUCUGGAACUACUAUAGUGCCAUAUACAUCGAUCAUACUCUCAAUUGGAAGGCAUCCAAGCCAUUUAAUCAUUUCCUUAGAACUACCAUUAUUAGCAUCAACAACUAAUUGUAGUCUAUAGAAAGUUUGUCUGAGCAGUACAAAUCCUAAAGAUCCUUUACAUCUGGACUCCGUAAUUCUACCUCUUAACCAGAUUUUCUCACCUUUCUGGUUAGAAUUCAAUUCCUUAAUCUUUGAAAAAGUCCUGUUCUCAAUUUUGCAAUUAAAAGGAAUUACUCCAUAUGGAGAUGCCUCAGUUGAAUGUACAAUAACUGAACUCCAAUGAACUGAUUGCUGUUGUUGCUGCUGAUUGCUCUUUGCCUCUGCCUUUUUAGCUUCUUUAAGUGCUUGUUUUUCUUGCUUUUUCAAUGCCUUUUUUGAAAGGACUUGUUCUUUUACCUCUG
RNAcentral lists this non-coding RNA (2312 nucleotides) under Cryptosporidium parvum. Lineage: Eukaryota; Apicomplexa; Conoidasida; Eucoccidiorida; Cryptosporidiidae. The record is from RNAcentral.